UGAAGAUACGUAGGGCGCACGGUGGAUGCCUUGGCAUAGGAAGGCUUCGAAGGACGCGGCAAGCUGCGAUAAUCUGCGGUGAGGAGCAAACAUCCCUCGACCCGCAGGUCUCCGAACGGGGCAACCCGCCAGAGCGGAGCUCUGGCACCUCCCGCCGAACGCAUAGGCGGGAAGGGGCGAACCGGGGGAACUGAAACAUCUAAGUACCCCGAGGAAAGGAAAUCAACCGAGAUCGCGCGAGUAGCGGCGAGCGAAAGCGCGUUUAGCCUAAACCCAUGCAUGCGCACAGCCUGCAGGCGUUGCUGCAUGGGGGUCGUGGGAGCGCGCAUCCGGUCCCUGCAGGGGCCGGCGCCGGUUACAAAGGGACUGGGAAGCGGAACGGCAUGGAAAGGCCGGCCGGAGCGGGCGAGAGCCCCGUACGCGGACCCCAGUCCCCCGGCGGACGCGCAUCCCGAGUACAGCCGGGCACGUGAAACCCGGUUGGAAGCAGGGGGGACCGCCCUCCAAGGCUGAAUACUCUCCUAUGACCGAUAGAGGACCAGUACCGUGAGGGAAAGGUGAAAAGCACCCCGAGAGGGGAGUGACACAGUACCUGAAACCGUGCGCCCGCAAGCAGUCGGAGCAGAGGAUUCCUCUGUGACGGCGUGCCUUUUGUAGAAUGAGCCAGCGAGUUACGGUGCGCUGCGAGGUUAAGCUUCGAAGCGAGCCGCAGUGAAAGCGAGCCUUUAAGAUGGCGGUGAGUAGCGCGCCGUAGACGCGAAGCCGGGUGAGCUAUCCAUGGGCAGGGUGAAGCGGGGGUAAGACCCCGUGGAGGCCCGAACCCACUUCGGUUGAAAACGGAGGGGACGACCCGUGGAUAGGGGUGAAAGGCCAAUCAAACCCGGAGAUAUCUCGUUCUCCCCGAAAUAGCUUUAGGGCUAGCCGCGGCCGUACGAUGCCGGAGGUAGAGCACUGGACUUCCGAGGGGGCCUCACCGCCUGCCGAGGAAAACCAAACUCCGAAUGCCGGCAUCCCAUUGGCCGCGAGUCAGAGCAUGUGGGCUAAGCUGUGUGCUCGAGAGGGAAACAGCCCAGACCGCCCGCUAAGGCCCCCAAGUCCGUGCCGAGUGGCAAAGGAUGUGCGUUUGCCUAGACAACCAGGAUGUUGGCUUAGAAGCAGCCAUGCAUUUAAAGAGUGCGUAACAGCUCACUGGUCGAGUGGACAUGCGCCGACAAUUCACGGGGCUAAGCACGGCGCCGAAGCGGCGGACGGAUCGAGAGAUCCUGUGGUAGGGGAGCUUUCCCGGAGGGGCGAAGCGCGAGGGGCGACCCCGCGUGGACAUCCGGGAAGUGAGAAUGCUGGCAUGAGUAACGAGAGAGGGGCGGGAAACCCCUCCGCCGUAAGCCUAAGGGUUCCUGGGCAACGCUAAUCGCCCCAGGGUCAGUCGGGAGCUAAGCCGAGGCGGACACGCGUAGGCGAUGCACAACAGGCGGACAUUCCUGUACCGCCGCGGGCCGUCACCACCGACGGGGUGACGGGGAAGGGUAGCCGGGCGGGGUUCUGGACGUCCCCGUGAAAGCGCGUAGGGCGGUCGGCAUGGAAACCAGCCGACCGAUGAGCCCGAGACGCGAGACGAAGGAUCUGAUCCGAAGCCGGCGAGCCCAUGCCCCCUGGAAAAACCUCUAGGGAGGCCCGCGGCGCCCGUACCAAAACCGACACAGGUAGGCGGGUAGAGCAUACCGAGGCGAUCGGGAGAACCAUGGUUAAGGAACUCGGCAUACCGACCCCGUAACUUCGGGAGAAGGGGUGCCCGCCCAGGUGAGGGAGCUAGCCCCCGGAGCCCGGGCGGGCCGCAGCGAAACGGCCCAAGCGACUGUUUAGCAAAAACACAGGACUCUGCAAAGCCGCAAGGCGACGUCUAGGGUCUGACGCCUGCCCGGUGCCGGAAGGUUACGCGGAAGCGUUAGCGAAAGCGAGGCGCCGAAGCCAAGCCCCGGUAAACGGCGGCCGUAACUAUAACGGUCCUAAGGUAGCGAAAUUCCUUGUCGGGUAAGUUCCGACCUGCACGAAUGGCGUAACGACUUGGGCGCUGUCUCAACCAUGGACCCGGUGAAAUUGCAUUGUUCGUGAAGAUGCGAACUUCCCGCGGAAGGACGGAAAGACCCCGUGAACCUUUACUACAGCUUGGCAUUGAUCGUUGGCUCGGUGCGUAGAGGAUAGGUGGGAGGCUAUGAACCCCGGGCGCCAGCCCGGGCGGAGCCGCCCUUGGAAUACCACCCUCACCGUUCCGGCGAUCUAACGCGCGGCCGCGAUCCGGCGCGCGGACCGUGCCAGGCGGGUAGUUUGACUGGGGCGGUCGCCUCCCAAAGAGUAACGGAGGCGUGCGCAAGGUCCGCUCAGGACGGUCGGCAACCGUCCGCAGAGCACAAGAGUACAAGCGGGCUUGACUGCGAGGCCGACGAGCCGAGCAGGUGGGAAACCAGGUUCUAGUGAUCCGGCGGCCCGACGUGGAACGGCCGUCGCUCAACGGAUAAAAGGUACUCCGGGGAUAACAGGCUGAUCUUGCCCAAGAGUCCACAUCGACGGCAAGGUUUGGCACCUCGAUGUCGGCUCAUCGCAUCCUGGGGCUGAAGUCGGUCCCAAGGGUAUGGCUGUUCGCCAUUCAAAGCGGUACGCGAGCUGGGUUCAGAACGUCGUGAGACAGUUCGGUCCCUAUCCUCCGCGGGCGCAAGAGAACUGAGGAGAUCUGCCCCUAGUACGAGAGGACCGGGGUGGACGGACCUCUGGUGCAGCGGUUGUCGGCCAACGGCACUGCCGCGUAGCUACGUCCGGAACGGAUAAGCGCUGAAGGCAUCUAAGCGCGAAGCCGUCUCCAAGAUGAGUUCUCUUUCCGGUAAUCCCCCUCGUAGCCACCGAGCUUGAUCGGCCGCAGCUGCAAGCGCCGCGAGGCGCUCAGGCGAGCGGUACUAAUCGGUCGAGCUCUUCAUCUC
This 2969-nucleotide ribosomal RNA is filed under the name Hugonella massiliensis. RNAcentral's name for it is "bacterial LSU rRNA". It matches the Rfam family "Bacterial large subunit ribosomal RNA". The record is from RNAcentral. Lineage: Bacteria; Bacillati; Actinomycetota; Coriobacteriia; Eggerthellales; Eggerthellaceae.